This 497-nucleotide ribosomal RNA is filed under the name uncultured bacterium. RNAcentral's name for it is "partial 16S ribosomal RNA". It matches the Rfam family "Bacterial small subunit ribosomal RNA", at positions 28 to 507 of the family's 1533-position model. The record is from RNAcentral.
GAUGAACGCUGGCGGCGUGCCUAAUACAUGCAAGUCGAGCGAACGGACGAGAAGCUUGCUUCUCUGAUGUUAGCGGCGGACGGGUGAGUAACACGUGGAUAACCUACCUAUAAGACUGGGAUAACUUCGGGAAACCGGAGCUAAUACCGGAUAAUAUUUUGAACCGCAUGGUUCAAAAGUGAAAGACGGUCUUGCUGUCACUUAUAGAUGGAUCCGCGCUGCAUUAGCUAGUUGGUAAGGUAACGGCUUACCAAGGCAACGAUGCAUAGCCGACCUGAGAGGAUGAUCGGCCACACUGGAACUGAGACACGGUCCAGACUCCUACGGGAGGCAGCAGUAGGGAAUCUUCCGCAAUGGGCGAAAGCCUGACGGAGCAACGCCGCGUGAGUGAUGAAGGUCUUCGGAUCGUAAAACUCUGUUAUUAGGGAAGAGCAUAUGUGUAAGUAACUGUGCACAUCUUGACGGUACCUAAUCAGAAAGCCACGGCUAACUACGUG